This 498-nucleotide ribosomal RNA is filed under the name uncultured bacterium. Its description in RNAcentral is "partial 16S ribosomal RNA". It matches the Rfam family "Bacterial small subunit ribosomal RNA", at positions 30 to 523 of the family's 1533-position model. The record is from RNAcentral.
AUUGAACGCUGGCGGCAUGCCUUACACAUGCAAGUCGAACGGUAACAGGUCUUCGGAUGCUGACGAGUGGCGAACGGGUGAGUAAUACAUCGGAACGUGCCUAGUAGUGGGGGAUAACUACUCGAAAGAGUGGCUAAUACCGCAUGAGAUCUACGGAUGAAAGCAGGGGAUCGCAAGACCUUGUGCUACUAGAGCGGCCGAUGGCAGAUUAGGUAGUUGGUGGGAUAAAAGCUUACCAAGCCGACGAUCUGUAGCUGGUCUGAGCGGACGAUCAGCCACACUGGGACUGAGACACGGCCCAGACUCCUACGGGAGGCAGCAGUGGGGAAUUUUGGACAGUGGGCGAAAGCCUGAUCAAGCAAUGCCGCGUGCAGGAUGAAGGCCUUCGGGUUGUAAACUGCUUUUGUACGGAACGAAAAGCCCCGGGUUAAUACCCUGGGGUCAUGACGGUACCGUAAGAAUAAGCACCGGCUAACUACGUGCCAGCAGCCGCCGUAA